UAGUGUGGUUUGACCCAUGUGCAUUAUAGUCCAGUUGAGUGACCCUAGCCCAAUUUAAGAUUAUAACACAAAUGAUGACCUCCUAAUGAUAAAU
Molecule: long non-coding RNA, 94 nt
Organism: Ipomoea nil (Japanese morning glory)
Lineage: Eukaryota; Viridiplantae; Streptophyta; Magnoliopsida; Solanales; Convolvulaceae
Exons: 4
Source: RefSeq, a predicted model, not a curated record